AUAGUAGGUUUUUAAAGGGGUGAAAAUAUAAUAACAUCGCAUUCGUAAUGCGAAGGUCGUAGGUUCGACUCCUAUUAUCGGCACCA
Molecule: transfer RNA, 86 nt
Filed under: Citrobacter freundii
Lineage: Bacteria; Pseudomonadati; Pseudomonadota; Gammaproteobacteria; Enterobacterales; Enterobacteriaceae
Also listed under: 5 other names
Description: tRNA-Thr(cgt)
Rfam family: tRNA
About the family: Transfer RNA (tRNA) molecules are approximately 80 nucleotides in length. Their secondary structure includes four short double-helical elements and three loops (D, anti-codon, and T loops). Further hydrogen bonds mediate the characteristic L-shaped molecular structure. tRNAs have two regions of fundamental functional importance: the anti-codon, which is responsible for specific mRNA codon recognition, and the 3' end, to which the tRNAs corresponding amino acid is attached (by aminoacyl-tRNA synthetases). tRNAs cope with the degeneracy of the genetic code in two manners: having more than one tRNA (with a specific anti-codon) for a particular amino acid; and 'wobble' base-pairing, i.e. permitting non-standard base-pairing at the 3rd anti-codon position.
Source: RNAcentral